UACUCUCAGGACGCCCGUAAAUGACGGGUUUGAUAGAGGCCGGAUGUAAGCUCCGAGGUCCCCCGAGGAGUUCAGUCCGGGCCAACUAAUGUCCUUCGACGCCGCUGG
RNAcentral lists this ribosomal RNA (108 nucleotides) under Candidatus Methanomethylophilaceae archaeon. RNAcentral describes it as "partial 23S ribosomal RNA". It matches the Rfam family "Archaeal large subunit ribosomal RNA", at positions 2878 to 2987 of the family's 2987-position model. The record is from RNAcentral. Lineage: Archaea; Methanobacteriati; Thermoplasmatota; Thermoplasmata; Methanomassiliicoccales; Methanomethylophilaceae.